This 496-nucleotide ribosomal RNA is filed under the name uncultured bacterium. Its description in RNAcentral is "partial 16S ribosomal RNA". It matches the Rfam family "Bacterial small subunit ribosomal RNA", at positions 28 to 507 of the family's 1533-position model. The record is from RNAcentral.
GACGAACGCUGGCGGCACGCCUAACACAUGCAAGUCGAGCGGUUCGGAGAUUGGAACUGAGGGAUUAAGGAAUUAAUCUCUGAGCUCCAAUUUCCGGAUAGCGGCGGACGGGUGAGUAACACGUGAGGAACCUGCCUUUCAGAGGGGGAUAACGUUUGGAAACGAACGCUAAUACCGCAUGAAGUAUAUUUACGGCAUCGUAGAUAUACCAAAGGAGCAAUCCGCUGAAAGAUGGCCUCGCGGCUGAUUAGCUAGUUGGCGGGGUAACGGCCCACCAAGGCGACGAUCAGUAGCCGGACUGAGAGGUUGAACGGCCACAUUGGGACUGAGACACGGCCCAGACUCCUACGGGAGGCAGCAGUGGGGGAUAUUGCACAAUGGGCGAAAGCCUGAUGCAGCGAUGCCGCGUGGAGGAAGAAGGUCUUCGGAUUGUAAACUCCUGUCUUUAGGGACGAUAAUGACGGUACCUAAGGAGGAAGCUCCGGCUAACUACGUG